Molecule: long non-coding RNA, 591 nt
Organism: Trifolium pratense (red clover)
Lineage: Eukaryota; Viridiplantae; Streptophyta; Magnoliopsida; Fabales; Fabaceae
Exons: 2
Source: RefSeq, a predicted model, not a curated record
UUGAAGCAACACAUUAAUCUACUUAAGAGGCAUUUAAUAAUGUCUGCAAUUAUAAAAGUAUUUUUACAAUAUCUGAACCAUUAUAAAUAUUUAGUUUCUUUAGUAUAACAUAAGCAUUAUACACUAUAAAGUGAUAAAAACAUAUUCUUUGUUAAAGAGAUAAAAAUAUGGCUAAAAUUAUCAACUUUGUUUAUGUCAUGCUUUUAUUUAUUUCCCUAUUACUUGGUACAAAAACCGUUGAUGCAAGUUUCCAGAGAUGUGAAACUGAUGAUGAUUGUCCAAAAACUGAUACACCCGAUAUUCCUGAUAAGUAUCUGUGUUACAAGAAAAGAUGUUAUCUUAUUAAAGGUGGGACACUAGAAAAUUAGUACCAAAUUGAUGAUGAUUGUAAAAUCAAAUGUGAUUCAGGGAAAAAUAAGUUGAUAUACUAAUAAAAUAAAUCUAUGCAAUCUAAAAUAAAUUUGGUUUGCACCCAAUAAAUGUAUUUCUUUAAUAUUUCGUUUUAUAAUUUUAUGGACCUUGCAAUUAUGACUUUGUAUUCUACAAUGUUGGCAAUGAAAUAAAUUAUGGUACUAUACAAUAUUAUUAUGA